This 76-nucleotide transfer RNA is filed under the name Staphylococcus aureus. Its description in RNAcentral is "tRNA-Ile". It matches the Rfam family "tRNA". From Rfam's summary of the family: Transfer RNA (tRNA) molecules are approximately 80 nucleotides in length. Their secondary structure includes four short double-helical elements and three loops (D, anti-codon, and T loops). Further hydrogen bonds mediate the characteristic L-shaped molecular structure. tRNAs have two regions of fundamental functional importance: the anti-codon, which is responsible for specific mRNA codon recognition, and the 3' end, to which the tRNAs corresponding amino acid is attached (by aminoacyl-tRNA synthetases). tRNAs cope with the degeneracy of the genetic code in two manners: having more than one tRNA (with a specific anti-codon) for a particular amino acid; and 'wobble' base-pairing, i.e. permitting non-standard base-pairing at the 3rd anti-codon position. The record is from RNAcentral. Lineage: Bacteria; Bacillati; Bacillota; Bacilli; Caryophanales; Staphylococcaceae.
GGGCCUAUAGCUCAGCUGGUUAGAGCGCACGCCUGAUAAGCGUGAGGUCGGUGGUUCGAGUCCACUUAGGCCACCA